Molecule: ribosomal RNA, 408 nt
Filed under: Salmonella enterica subsp. salamae serovar Sofia
Lineage: Bacteria; Pseudomonadati; Pseudomonadota; Gammaproteobacteria; Enterobacterales; Enterobacteriaceae
Also listed under: 4 other names
Description: bacterial SSU rRNA
Rfam family: Bacterial small subunit ribosomal RNA
Source: RNAcentral
AACUCAAAGGAGACUGCCAGUGAUAAACUGGAGGAAGGUGGGGAUGACGUCAAGUCAUCAUGGCCCUUACGACCAGGGCUACACACGUGCUACAAUGGCGCAUACAAAGAGAAGCGACCUCGCGAGAGCAAGCGGACCUCAUAAAGUGCGUCGUAGUCCGGAUUGGAGUCUGCAACUCGACUCCAUGAAGUCGGAAUCGCUAGUAAUCGUGGAUCAGAAUGCCACGGUGAAUACGUUCCCGGGCCUUGUACACACCGCCCGUCACACCAUGGGAGUGGGUUGCAAAAGAAGUAGGUAGCUUAACCUUCGGGAGGGCGCUUACCACUUUGUGAUUCAUGACUGGGGUGAAGUCGUAACAAGGUAACCGUAGGGGAACCUGCGGUUGGAUCACCUCCUUACCUGAAAGAA